This 497-nucleotide ribosomal RNA is filed under the name uncultured bacterium. RNAcentral's name for it is "partial 16S ribosomal RNA". It matches the Rfam family "Bacterial small subunit ribosomal RNA", at positions 28 to 507 of the family's 1533-position model. The record is from RNAcentral.
GAUGAACGCUGGCGGCGUGCCUAAUACAUGCAAGUCGAGCGAACAGAUGAGGAGCUUGCUCCUCUGACGUUAGCGGCGGACGGGUGAGUAACACGUGGAUAACCUACCUAUAAGACUGGGAUAACUUCGGGAAACCGGAGCUAAUACCGGAUAAUAUAUUGAACCGCAUGGUUCAAUAGUGAAAGACGGUUUUGCUGUCACUUAUAGAUGGAUCCGCGCCGCAUUAGCUAGUUGGUAAGGUAACGGCUUACCAAGGCAACGAUGCGUAGCCGACCUGAGAGGGUGAUCGGCCACACUGGAACUGAGACACGGUCCAGACUCCUACGGGAGGCAGCAGUAGGGAAUCUUCCGCAAAGGGCGAAAGCCUGACGGAGCAACGCCGCGUGAGUGAUGAAGGUCUUCGGAUCGUAAAACUCUGUUAUUAGGGAAGAACAAAUGUGUAAGUAACUAUGCACGUCUUGACGGUACCUAAUCGGAAAGCCACGGCUAACUACGUG